CACGUAGGGGGCGAGCGUUGUCCGGAUUUAUUGGGCGUAAAGAGCUCGUAGGCGGUUCGGCAAGUCGGGUGUGAAAUUUCGAGGCUCAACCUCGAAACGCCACUCGAUACUGCUGUGACUGGAGUCCGGUAGAGGAGUGCGGAAUUCCUGGUGUAGCGGUGAAAUGCGCAGAUAUCAGGAAGAACACCCGUGGCGAAAGCGGCUCUCUGGAACGGUACUGACGCUGAGACGCGAAAGCGUGGGGAGCGAACAGG
This 254-nucleotide ribosomal RNA is filed under the name uncultured bacterium. RNAcentral's name for it is "partial 16S ribosomal RNA". It matches the Rfam family "Bacterial small subunit ribosomal RNA", at positions 524 to 776 of the family's 1533-position model. The record is from RNAcentral.